AUUCCUUCUAAUGAUGCAUAAGUUUGUUUGUAUGUUUAUGUUAUGUAUAACUCGGUCAAAACAAAACAAUCAUACUAUAAUUAACUUGUGAAAAAAAUGAAACGGAAAAACGACAUUUGAUCCUUGAAAAAUAGAAAAAAAAAAUCGUAGGUAAUCUGUAGUUAAAUACCUACGGAUUGUCUACAGAAUAAGGUAAUCUGUAGGUAUUCCGUACCUAUUACCUACAGAUUACCUACGGUAUUUUAUUUUAUUUUUCAAUUUUCAAAGGUCAAAUAUUAUUUUUUUCGUAUCGUUUUUUUUCACAACUUAACUAUACUUUGAUUGAUUUGUUUUAACCAAUUUAUAUAUAACAUAAACUUACAAACAAACGUAUGCAUCAUUAAAAACCAUUACAUUAUAUAAUAAACAAAAAGCUAUGUAUGUUUGUCUUUAAUCCACAAUUAACAUCAUUAAACAAAUACACGAUAUAAUAAACAUACUACAUACAUAUGGUGUGCAUGUAAAUGGGUGUACUUAUGUCUAUUUGUGUUUAGAAAAUAUCUUUGAUUUAAAAAAAAAAAAAAAAAAAAAAAAAAACUUCUAAAUGUCGAAUAGGUUCUAGUGAUGCAUAAGUUUGUUUAUAAGUUUAUGUUAUGUAUAACUCGGUUAAAACAAAACAAUCAUACUAUAAUUAACUUGUGAAAAAAAUGAAACGGAAAAAACGACAUUUGAUCAUUGUAAAAUAGAAAAAAAAAAACGUAGGUAAUCUGUAGGUAAAUACCUACGGCUUGCCUACAGAAAAAGGUAAUCUAUAGAUAUUCCGUAACUAUUUACCUAUAGAUUACCUACGGUAUUUUUUUUAUUUUUCAAUUUUCAAAGGUUAAAUAUUGUUUUUUUCGUUUCGUUUUUUUCACAACUUAAUUAUUCUCAGAUUGCUUUGUUUUAACCAAUUUAUACAUAACAUAAACUUACAAACAAACGUACGCAUGAUUAAAAACCAUUACCAUAUAAUAAACAAAAAGCUAUGUAUUUUUGUCUUUAAGCAACAAUUAACAUCAUUAAACAAAUAUACAAUAUAAUAAACAUACUACAUACAUAUGGUGUGUAUGUAAAUGUGUGUACUUAUGUCUAUUUGUGUUAAAAAAAUAUCUUUGAUUUAAAAAAAAAAAAAAAAAAAAAAAAAAAAAAAAANAAAAAAUAACUUCUAAAUGACUAAUGGGUUCUAAUGAUGCAUAAGUUUGUUUGUAAGUUUAUGUUAUAUAUAACUCGGUCAAAACAAAACAAUUAUACUAUAAUUAACUUGUGAAAAAAAAUGAAACGGAAAAAACGACAUUUGAUCCAUGAAAAAUAAAAAAAUAAAAAAAAAAAACGUAGGUAAUCUGUAGGUAAAUACCUACGGAUUGCCUACAGAAAAAAGUAAUCUGUAGUUAUUCCGUAGCUAUUUACUUAUAGAUUCCCUAUGGUAUUUUUUUUAUUUUUUAAUUUUCAAAGGUUAAAUAUUGUUAUUUUCGUUUCGUUUUUUUCACAACUUAAUUAUUCUUUGAUUGCUUUGUUUUAACCAAUUUAUAAAUAACAUAAACUUACAAACAAACGUACGCAUCAUUAAAAACCAUUACUAUAUAAUAAACAAAAAACUAUGUAUGUUUGUCUUUAAGCGAGAAUUAACAUCAUUAAACAAAUACAUGAUAUAAUAAACAUACUACAUAUAUAUGGUGUGUAUGUAAAUUUGUGUACUUAUGUCUAUUUGUGUUUAGAAAAUAUCUUUGAUUUAAAAAAAAAAAAAAAACUUCUAAAUGACUAAUGGGUUCUAAUGAUGCAUAAGUUUGUUUGUAAGUUUUUGUUAUGCGUAACUCGGUCAAAACAAAACAAUCAUACUUUAAUUAACUAGUGAAAAAAAUGAAACGGAAAAAACAAAAUUUGAUCCUUGAAAAAUAGAAAAAAGAAACCGUAAGUAAUCUGUAGGUAAAUACCUAAGGAUUGCCUACAGAAAAAGGAAAUUUGUAGGUAUUUCGUAGAUAUUUACCUAAAGAUUACUUGCGGUAUUUUUUUUAUUUUUCAAUUUUCAAAGGUCAAAUAUGGUUUUUUUCGUUUCGUUUUUUUUCACAACUUAAUUAUUCUUUGAUUGCUUUGUUUUAACCAAUUUAUACAUAACAUAAACUUACAAAACAAACGUAUGCAUCAUUAAAAACCAUUACUAUAUAAUAAACAAAAAGCUAUGUAUGUUUGUCUUUAAGCCACAAUUAACAUCAUUNAUUAACAUCAUAAACAAAUACACGAUACAAUAAACAUACUACAUACAUAUGGUGUGUAUGUAAAUGUGUGUACUUAUGUUUAUUUGUGUUUAUAAAAUAUCUGUGAUUUAAAAAAAUAAAAAAAAACUUCUAAAUGACUAAUGGGUUCUAAUGAUGCAUAGGUUUGUUUGUAAGUUUAUGUUAUGUAUAACUCGGUCAAAACAAAACAAUCAUACUAUAAUUCACUUGUGAAAAAAAUGAAACGGAAAAAACGACAUUUGAUUCUUUAAAAAUAUUAUAAAAAAAAAAAAAAAAAAAAAAAAAAAAAAAAAACACACAUNNNNNNNNNNNNNNNNNNNNNNNNNNNNNNNNNNNNNNNNNNNNNNNNNNNNNNNNNNNNNNNNNNNNNNNNNNNNNNNNNNNNNNNNNNNNNNNNNNAUAUUACCUAUAGAUUACCUACGGUAUUUUUUUUAUUUUUCAAUUUUCAAAGGUCAAAUAUUGUUUUUUUUGUUUCGUUUUUUUUUCACAACUUAAUUAUACUUUGAUUGCUUUGUUUUAAACAGCUUAUACAUAACAUAAACUUACAAAACGAACGUAUGCAUCAUUAAAAAUCAUUACUAUAUAAUAAACAAAAAGCUAUGUAUGUUUGUCUUUAAGCCACAAUUUACAUCAUUAAACAAAUACACGAUAUAAUAAACAUAGUACAUACAUAUGGUGUGUAUGUAAAUGUGUGUACUUAUGUCUAUUUGUGUUUAGAAAGUAUCUUUGAUUUAAAAAUAAAAAAAAAACUUCUAAAUGACUAAUUUCUUCUAAUGAUGCAUAAGUUUGUUUGUAAGUUUAUGUUAUGUAUAACUCGGUCAAAACAAAACAAACAUACUAUAAUUAACUUGUGAAAAAAAUGAAACGGAAAAACGACAUUUGAUCAUUGAAAAAUAGAAAAAAAAACGUAGGUAAUCUGUAGUUAAUACCUACGGAUUGCCUACAGAAAAAGGUAAUCUAUAGAUAUUCCGUAACUAUGUACCUAUAGAUUCCCUACGGUAUUUUUUUUAUUUUUCAAUUUUCAAAGGUUAAAUAUUGUUUUUUUCGUUUCGUUUUUUUCACAACUUAAUUAUUCUUUGAUUGCUUUGUUUUAACCAAUUUAUACAUAAGAUAAACUUACAAACAAACGUACGCAUCAUUAAAAACCAUUACUAUAUAAUAAAAAAAAACUAUGUAUGUUUGUCUUUAAGCCACAAUUAACAUCAUUAAACAAAUACAUGAUAUAAUAAACAUACUCCAUACAUAUGGUGUGUAUGUAAAUUUGUGUACUUAUGUCUAUUUGUGUUUGGAAAAUAUCUUUGAUUUAAAAAAAAAAAAACUUCUAAAUGACUAAUGGGUUCUAAUGAUGCAUAAGUUUGUUUGUAAGUUUAUGUUAUGCGUAACUCGGUCAAAACAAAACAAUCAUACUUUAAUUAACUUGUGAAAAAAAUGAAACCGAAAAACGAAAUUUGAUCCUUGAAAAAUAGAAAAAAAAAUUGUAGCUAAUCUGUAGAUAAAUACCUAAGGAUUGCCUACAGAAAAAGGAAAUCUGCAGGUAUUUCGUAGAUAUUACCUACAGAUUACCUACGGUAUUUUUUAUUUUUCAAUUUUUAAAGAUCAAAUAUUGUUUUUUUCGUUUCGUUUUUUUUCAAUACUUAAUUAUUCUUUGAUUGGUUUUGGUUUAACCAAUUUAUACAUAACAUAAACUUACAAAACAAACAUAUGCAUCAGUAAAAACCAUUACAUUAUAUAAUAAACAAAACGCUAUGUAUGUUUAUCUUUAGGCCACAAUUAACAUCAUUAAACAAAUACACGAUAUAAUAAACAUACUACAUACAUAUGGUGUGUAUAUAAAUGUGUGUACUUAUGUGGAUUUGUGUUUAGAAAAUAUCUUUGAUUUAAAAAUAAAAAAAAACUUCUAAAUGACUAAUUUGUUCUAAUGAUGCAUAAGUUUGUUUGUAAGUUUAUGUUAUGUAUAACUCGGUCAAAACAAAACAAUCAUACUAUAAUUAACUUGUGAAAAAAAUGAAACGGAAAAACGACAUUUGAUCCUUCAAAAAUAGAAAAAAAAAUUGGGUGUACUUAUGUCUAUUUGUGUUUAGAAAAUAUCUUUGAUUUAAAAAAAAAAAAAAAAAAAAAACUUCCAAAUGACUAAUAGGUUCUAAUGAUGCAUAAGUUUGUUUGUAAGUUUAUGUUAUGUAUAACUCGGUUAAAACAAAACAAUCAUACUAUUAUUAACUUGUGAACAAAAUGAAACGGGUGUACUUAUGUCUAUUUGUGUUUAGAAAAUAUCUUUGAUUUAAAAAAAAAAAAAAAAAAACUUCCAAAUGACUAAUAGGUUCUAAUGAUGCAUAAGUUUGUUUGUAAGUUUAUGUUAUGUAUAACUCGGUUAAAACAAAACAAUCAUACUAUAAUUAACUUGUGAAAAAAAUGAAACGGAAAAAACAAAAUUUGAUCCUUGAAAAAUAGAAAAAAAAAACGUAGGUAAUAUGUAGGUAAAUACCUACGGUUUGGCUACAGAAAAAGGUAAUUUGUAGGUAUUCCGUAGCUAUUUACCUAUAGAUUACUUACGGUAUUUUUUUUAUUUUUUCUAUUUUCAAAGGUUAAAUAUUGUUUUUUCGUUUCGUUUUUUUUCACAACUUAAUAACUUACAAACAAAGGUACGCAUCAUUAAAAACCAUUACUAUAUAAUAAACAAAAAACUAUGUAUGUUUGUCUUUAAGCCACAAUUAACAUCAUUAACCAAAUACACGAUAUAAUGAACAUACUACAUACAUAUGGUGUGUAUGUAAAUGUGUAUACUUAUGUCUAUUUGUGUUAAGAAAAUACCUUUGAUUUAAAAAAAAAAAAACUUCUAAAUGACUAAUGGGUUCUAAUGAUGCAUAAGUUUAUUUGUAAGUUUAUGUUAUGUAUCACAAAACAAAACAAUCAUACUAUAAUUAACUUGUGAAAAAAAUGAAACGGAAAAAACGACAUUUGAUCCUUGAAAAAUAGAAAAAUAAAAAUAAAAAAAAAACCGUAGGUAAUCUGUAGGUAAAAUACCUACGGAUUGUCUGCAGAAAAAGGUAAUUUGUAGGUAUUCCGUAGCUAUUUACCUACAGAUUACCUACGGUAUUUUUUUUAUUUUUCAAUUUUCAAAGGUCAAAUAUUGUUUUUUUCGUUUCGUUUUUUUUUCACAACUUAAUUAUUCUUUGAUUGCUUUGUUUUAACCAAUUGAUACAUAACAUAAACUUACAAAACAAACGUAUGCAUCAUUAAAAAACCAUUACUAUAUAAUAAACAAAAAGCUAUGUAUGUUUGUCUUUAAGCCACAAUUAACAUCAUUAAACAAAUACACGAUACAAUAAACAUACUACAUACAUAUGGUGUGUAUGUAAAUGUGUGUACUUAUGUUUAUUUGUGUUUAGAAAAUAUCUUUGAUUUAAAAAAAUAAAAAAAAAACUUCUAAAUGACUAAUGGGUUCUAAUGAUGCAUAAGUUUGUUUGUAAGUUUAUGUUAUGUAUAACUCAGUCAAAACAAAACAAUCAUACUAUAAUUCACUUGUGAAAAAAAUGAAACGGAAAAAACGACAUUUGAUUCUUUAAAAAUACUAUAAAAAAAUAAAAAUAAAUAAAAAAAAAAUAAUAAAAAAACGCACGUAAUCUGUAGGUAAAUACAUACGGAUUGCCUACAGAAAAAGGAAAUCUGCAGGUAUUUCAUAUAUAUUACCUAUAGAUUACCUACGGUAUUUUUUUUAUUUUUCAAUUUUCAAAGGUCAAAUAUUGUUUUUUUUGUUUCGUUUUUUUUUCACAACUUAAUUAUACUUUGAUUGCUUUGUUUUAAACAGCUUAUACAUAACAUAAACUUACAAAACGAACGUAUGCAUCAUUAAAAAUCAUUACUAUAUAAUAAACAAAAAGCUAUGUAUGUUUGUCUUUAAGCCACAAUUUACAUCAUUAAACAAAUACACGAUAUAAUAAACAUAGUACAUACAUAUGGUGUGUAUGUAAAUGUGUGUACUUAUGUCUAUUUGUGUUUAGAAAGUAUCUUUGAUUUAAAAAUAAAAAAAAAACUUCUAAAUGACUAAUUUCUUCUAAUGAUGCAUAAGUUUGUUUGUAAGUUUAUGUUAUGUAUAACUCGGUCAAAACAAAACAAACAUACUAUAAUUAACUUGUGAAAAAAAUGAAACGGAAAAACGACAUUUGAUCAUUGAAAAAUAGAAAAAAAAACGUAGGUAAUCUGUAGUUAAUACCUACGGAUUGCCUACAGAAAAAGGUAAUCUAUAGAUAUUCCGUAACUAUGUACCUAUAGAUUCCCUACGGUAUUUUUUUUAUUUUUCAAUUUUCAAAGGUUAAAUAUUGUUUUUUUCGUUUCGUUUUUUUCACAACUUAAUUAUUCUUUGAUUGCUUUGUUUUAACCAAUUUAUACAUAAGAUAAACUUACAAACAAACGUACGCAUCAUUAAAAACCAUUACUAUAUAAUAAAAAAAAACUAUGUAUGUUUGUCUUUAAGCCACAAUUAACAUCAUUAAACAAAUACAUGAUAUAAUAAACAUACUCCAUACAUAUGGUGUGUAUGUAAAUUUGUGUACUUAUGUCUAUUUGUGUUUGGAAAAUAUCUUUGAUUUAAAAAAAAAAAAACUUCUAAAUGACUAAUGGGUUCUAAUGAUGCAUAAGUUUGUUUGUAAGUUUAUGUUAUGCGUAACUCGGUCAAAACAAAACAAUCAUACUUUAAUUAACUUGUGAAAAAAAUGAAACCGAAAAACGAAAUUUGAUCCUUGAAAAAUAGAAAAAAAAAUUGUAGCUAAUCUGUAGAUAAAUACCUAAGGAUUGCCUACAGAAAAAGGAAAUCUGCAGGUAUUUCGUAGAUAUUACCUACAGAUUACCUACGGUAUUUUUUAUUUUUCAAUUUUUAAAGAUCAAAUAUUGUUUUUUUCGUUUCGUUUUUUUUCAAUACUUAAUUAUUCUUUGAUUGGUUUUGGUUUAACCAAUUUAUACAUAACAUAAACUUACAAAACAAACGUAUGCAUCAGUAAAAACCAUUACAUUAUAUAAUAAACAAAACGCUAUGUAUGUUUAUCUUUAGGCCACAAUUAACAUCAUUAAACAAAUACACGAUAUAAUAAACAUACUACAUACAUAUGGUGUGUAUAUAAAUGUGUGUACUUAUGUGGAUUUGUGUUUAGAAAAUAUCUUUGAAUUAAAAAAAAAAAAAAACUUCUAAAUGACUAAUUUGUUCUAAUGAUGCAUAAGUUUGUUUGUAAGUUUAUGUUAUGUAUAACUCGGUCAAAACAAAACAAUCAUACUAUAAUUAACUUGUGAAAAAAAUGAAACGGAAAAACGACAUUUGAUCCUUCAAAAAUAGAAAAAAAAAAUUGGGUGUACUUAUGUCUAUUUGUGUUUAGAAAAUAUCUUUGAUUUAAAAAAAAAAAACUUCUAAAUGACUAAUGGGUUCUAAUGAUGCAUAAGUUUGUUUGUAAGUUUAUGUUAUGUAUAACUCGGUCAAAACAAAACAAUCAUACUAUAAUUAACUUGUGAAAAAAAUGAAACGGAAAAAACGACAUUUGAUCCUUGAAAAAUAGAAAAAAAAAUUGUAGCUAAUCUGUAGAUAAAUACCUAAGGAUUGCCUACAGAAAAAGGAAAUCUGCAGGUAUUUCGUAGAUAUUACCUACAGAUUACCUACGGUAUUUUUUAUUUUUCAAUUUUUAAAGAUCAAAUAUUGUUUUUUUCGUUUCGUUUUUUUUCAAUACUUAAUUAUUCUUUGAUUGGUUUUGGUUUAACCAAUUUAUACAUAACAUAAACUUACAAAACAAACGUAUGCAUCAGUAAAAACCAUUACAUUAUAUAAUAAACAAAACGCUAUGUAUGUUUAUCUUUAGGCCACAAUUAACAUCAUUAAACAAAUACACGAUAUAAUAAACAUACUACAUACAUAUGGUGUGUAUAUAAAUGUGUGUACUUAUGUCUAUUUGUGUUUAGAAAAUAUCUUUGAUUUAAAAAAAAAAAAAAAACUUCUAAAUGACGAAUAGGUUCUAGUGAUGCAUAAGUUUGUUUAUAAGUUUAUGUUAUGUAUAACUCGGUUAAAACAAAACAAUCAUACUAUAAUUAACUUGUGAAAAAAAUGAAACGGAAAAACGACAUUUGAUCCUUGAAAAAUUGAAAAAAAAAGGAGGUAAUCUGUAGGUAAAUACCUACGGAUUGCCUACAGAAAAAGAUGAUCUGUAGGUAUUCCGUAGCUAUUUACCUAUAGAUUACCUACGGUAUUUUUUUUAUUUUUCAAUUUUCAAAGGUUAAAUAUUGUUUUUUUCGUUUCGUUUUUUUACACAACUUAAUUAUUCUUUGAUUGCUUUGUUUUAACCAAUUUAUACAUAACAUAAACUUACAAACAAACGUACGCAUCAUUAAAAACCAUUACUAUAUAAUAAUAAAAAAAAGCUAUGUAUGUUUGUCUUUAAACCACAAUUAACAUCAUUAAACAAAUACACGAUAUAAUAAACAUACUACAUACAUAUGGUGUGUAUGUAAAUGUGUGUACUUUUGUCUAUUUGUGUUUAGAAAAUAUCUUUGAUUUAAAAAAAAAAACUUCUAAAUGACCAAUGGUUUCUAAUGAUGCAUAAGUUUGUUUGUAAGUUUAUGUUAUGUAUAACUCGGUCAAAACAAAACAAUCAUACUAUAAUUAACUUGUGAAAAAAAUGAAACGGAAAAAACAAAAUUUGAUCCUUGAAAAAUAGAAAAAAAAAAAAAAAAAACGUAGGUAAUCUGUAGGUAAAUACCUACGGAUUGCCUACAGAAAAAGGUAAUCUGUAGGUAUUUCGUAGCUAUUUACCUAAAGAUUACAUACAAUAUUUUUUUUAAUUUUUCAAUUUUCAAAGGUUAAAUAUUGUUUUUUUCGUUUCGUUUUUUACACAACUUAAUUAUUCUUUGAUUACUUUGUUUUAACCAAUUUAUACAUAACAUAAACUUACAAACAAACGUACGCAUCAUUAAAUUACUAUAUAAUAAACAAAAAGCUAUCUAUGUUUGUCUUUAAGCCACAAUUAACAUCAUUAAACAAAUACACGAUAUAAUAAACAUACUACACACAUGUCUAUUUGUGUUUAAAAAAUAUCUUUGAUUUAAAAAAAAAAAAAAAAAAACUUCUAAAUGACUAAUGGGUUCUAAUNNNNNNNNNNNNNNNNNNNNNNNNNNNNNNNNNNNNNNNNNNNNNNNNNNNNNNNNNNNNNNNNNNNNNNNNNNNNNNNNNNNNNNNNNNNNNNNNNNNNGAUUGUCUACAGAAUAAGGUAAUUUGUAGGUAUUCCGUACCUAUUUACCUACAGAUUAACAACGGUAUUUUUUUUUUCAAUUUUCAAAGGUCAAAUAUUAUUUUUUUCGUAUCGUUUUUUUUCACAACUUAACUAUACUUUGAUUGAUUUGUUUUAACCAAUUUAUAUAUAACAUAAACUUACAAACAAACGUACGCAUCAUUAAAAACCAUUACUAUAUAAUAAACAAAAAUCUAUGUAUGUUUGUCUUUAAGCCACAAUUAAUAUCAUUAAACAAAUACAUGAUAUAAUAAAC
This 9764-nucleotide long non-coding RNA is filed under the name Lactuca sativa (garden lettuce). Its description in RNAcentral is "long non-coding RNA (LSAT_LNC004218)". Lineage: Eukaryota; Viridiplantae; Streptophyta; Magnoliopsida; Asterales; Asteraceae. The record is from RNAcentral.